Molecule: ribosomal RNA, 424 nt
Filed under: uncultured bacterium
Lineage: Bacteria
Description: partial 16S ribosomal RNA
Rfam family: Bacterial small subunit ribosomal RNA
Source: RNAcentral
GUGGGGAAUCUUGCGCAAUGGGCGAAAGCCUGACGCAGCCAUGCCGCGUGGAUGAUGAAGGUCUUAGGAUUGUAAAAUCCUUUCACCGGUGAAGAUAAUGACUGUAGCCGGAGAAGAAGCCCCGGCUAACUUCGUGCCAGCAGCCGCGGUAAUACGAAGGGGGCUAGCGUUGCUCGGAUUUACUGGGCGUAAAGGGCGCGUAGGCGGACAUUUAAGUCAGGGUGAAAUCCCGGGGCUCAACCUCGGAACUGCCUUUGAUACUGGGUGUCUUGAGUAUGAGAGAGGUGUGUGGAACUCCGAGUGUAGAGGUGAAAUUCGUAGAUAUUCGGAAGAACACCAGUGGCGAAGGCGACACACUGGCUCAUUACUGACGCUGAGGCGCGAAAGCGUGGGGAGCAAACAGGAUUAGAAACCCGGGUAGUCC